Non-coding RNA from Prunus mume (Japanese apricot), 667 nucleotides. The record is from RefSeq and is a predicted model, not a curated record. NCBI's taxonomy places the organism in Eukaryota, Viridiplantae, Streptophyta, Magnoliopsida, Rosales, Rosaceae.
CAUCAAGGGAACUUGUCCUGCUUUGUUUGACUGAUUUCGAUGAAGCUUUUACCUAAAAUGAGAUUUUCUUUUCGUAGUUACUGGAGCUCUUUUCGUGGCAUGGGAGGGAGGGAAGAGUGAAUAUGACCCCAAGUUUCAUUUUAAUUCACCUUCAAGUGUCAUCAAGUUGCUCAAAGGCUAUAUGAGGGACUCUAUGGAAGCGAACGGAGUGGUGUGAACCAUCAAAGUGAUCAGCCUAUGGAAGUUCCAAUUACUGAAAUUUUGAUAAUUUUCAUCAAAAGUCAGCCUUGAGAACUUGACAGAGACAUGAUGAAUUUCGAAGUUCCCAGGUGUCUUUUGUUUGCCUUCGGUAACUUUGAUUUGACGAUUCCAACAAGAAAUGGAGGGAAAUGGUUCCAAAUUGGUGGCAAAUGGGUCUAAGGCAUUGAAGAGGUCAAAAGGGAUUGAUUUGACGAUUAUAUCCCUCAUAAAAUAGGGAUUUAACGGUUAUUUUGACUGAUGGACUAUUUAAGAGCAUUCAUAUUAACGUUAAGAAUCAUCAGUGAUACAAAAAACCUCUAAGGAUGUAUUCUGAUAGUUUCGCAAAUGUUAGGGACAUUUUGUGAUAAAAAGCCAAAAAUAAAUAAUGUUUGCAAACACAUUUUUACUAAAAUUCAUCCUUUUGUAG